CCCUAUCAAGGUUAUUGGCCGCCAUCUUGGACUGGGGGCAAACAUUGGGGGCUGACGUCAUAAUAACAAUGGCUGAAUCGAGCUCCGCAAUAUAAUCGCCGCGUAUAAUUUACCUGCGUCGUAACAAGUGUACCUAGGUGUGCAGAAGAGACCCCAAGAAGAGAAGAUAUCCUAGAAACACCUGAAGGCGUGUCUCAGUCUCGGAGUCAGAGUUAAAGACACAGGAUAUGACAUGGCAGGAUGCAGCUAAAGCAGCUCUGAAUCGAGUUCGUUGGAGGACUGUCAUCAAUGGCCUAUGUUCCUCAGAGAAGGACAGGCCGAAGUAAGUACAUGAACUAAGUAGCAGAAGAGUGCUCUUUUAACACUGCAG
Long non-coding RNA from Saccostrea cuccullata (small rock oyster), 370 nucleotides. RefSeq lists it as uncharacterized. The record is from RefSeq and is a predicted model, not a curated record. NCBI's taxonomy places the organism in Eukaryota, Metazoa, Mollusca, Bivalvia, Ostreida, Ostreidae. The transcript is spliced from 3 exons.